Long non-coding RNA from Cyprinodon variegatus (sheepshead minnow), 476 nucleotides. RefSeq lists it as uncharacterized. Lineage: Eukaryota; Metazoa; Chordata; Actinopteri; Cyprinodontiformes; Cyprinodontidae. The record is from RefSeq and is a predicted model, not a curated record. The transcript is spliced from 3 exons.
AGUUACUUUACGUAACUUAAACAUUUAAAUAUUUGUCUGAAUCUGUUUGCAUGCAAACAGAUUCAGGUUAUGAGAGCUGGUGGGGGUGUAGUAUGAAGGUAGAGAGGUGGAGAGUCAACACGAGAAGAGAAUUGGCAUUCAAGGUCAUUUCCUCGUCGGACUAAUGAGACAAAGCUGCAGAUUUCAGGCCUGAAUCGAGCGAAGAAAUGACAGAAAGGAGAAUGAGGAAGACAUUUGUUUGUGAUGAAUCGAUGAUCAUCACCAUCCCCAUCGCCAGCCUGAGGAAAAUUCAGGAGGGUCAACUGAUGCCAGAGAACUUCCACUGCGUGUUCAGGGAUAACUUCAAGGUGUUUGCUGUUAGAGGAAAGCCGAGGCCGCUGGGGGCAGCACAAGCCAUUGCUGGUGUAUUUCUCCUCACUCUUGGAUUGAUUUCCCAAGAUUUGUACUUACUUGCCUUCAGUGUUUCAAGUCUUCUU